UGGGAAUCUUGGACAAUGGGGGAAACCCUGAUCCAGCCAUGCCGCGUGAGUGAUGAAGGCCUUCGGGUUGUAAAACUCUUUCGACGGGGACGAUAAUGACGGUACCCGUAGAAGAAGCUCCGGCUAACUUCGUGCCAGCAGCCGCGGUAAUACGAAGGGGGCUAGCGUUGUUCGGAAUUACUGGGCGUAAAGCGCGCGCAGGCGGUUCUCCAAGUCAGUGGUGAAAGCCCGGAGCUCAACUCCGGAAUUGCCAUUGAAACUGCAGAACUUGAGGACGAGAGAGGUGAGUGGAAUUCCCAGUGUAGAGGUGAAAUUCGUAGAUAUUGGGAAGAACACCGGUGGCGAAGGCGGCUCACUGGCUCGUUUCUGACGCUCAGGCGCGACAGCGUGGGGAUCAAAC
Molecule: ribosomal RNA, 400 nt
Filed under: uncultured bacterium
Lineage: Bacteria
Description: bacterial SSU rRNA
Rfam family: Bacterial small subunit ribosomal RNA
Source: RNAcentral